This 228-nucleotide long non-coding RNA is filed under the name Medicago truncatula (barrel medic). Its description in RNAcentral is "long non-coding RNA (MTRU_LNC003841)". Lineage: Eukaryota; Viridiplantae; Streptophyta; Magnoliopsida; Fabales; Fabaceae. The record is from RNAcentral.
CAGCAAAGAAUAUACCCACGGCCCUUGAGAGUCCUGUCAUGAAUGGCGUGGUAAGUAUCCGCUAGCAAAGUAGGAACCGGGUUCUUGGAAUGAAAGAUCUCGAUAGCAUUCAUGUCCACGAAGUUGUCGAGGUUCGGAAAGAGAAUGAGCCCGUAGAUAAGCAAAGCAAGAAUAGCCUCGAGUGUAUCCUGACGAGUAGUACCGAGAUUAGCCUGAUCAAGAAGAUAC